UGACUACCAUAGAACAUUGGCACCACCUGAUCCCAUCCCGAUCUCAGCAGUGAAACUAUGUAUCGCCGAUGGUUGUGUGGGGUUUCCCCAUGUGAGAGUAGGUCAUCGUCAAGA
RNAcentral lists this ribosomal RNA (114 nucleotides) under Pseudomonas syringae pv. actinidiae. The record is from RNAcentral. Lineage: Bacteria; Pseudomonadati; Pseudomonadota; Gammaproteobacteria; Pseudomonadales; Pseudomonadaceae.